UAGGUGACUUUAUUGUAAUUCUCUAUUCACCUAAAGGAUAAUAGUCAUUUAUCUUCGAGUAAUAAAAUCAUAACUCGUUAACUUAUCUUUGAAGUUCAAUAUCAUGCUUAUAUUCUCUGGUGGUUCAUAAAUGCUCUCAAGUUUGUUAAUUCUUUUCAAACUCCUAAAAUAAGGGUAGAAUCAUUAGAAAGUCGCUUCCG
RNAcentral lists this long non-coding RNA (200 nucleotides) under Carica papaya (papaya). Its description in RNAcentral is "long non-coding RNA (CPAP_LNC007012)". The record is from RNAcentral. Lineage: Eukaryota; Viridiplantae; Streptophyta; Magnoliopsida; Brassicales; Caricaceae.